RNAcentral lists this ribosomal RNA (443 nucleotides) under uncultured bacterium. RNAcentral's name for it is "partial 16S ribosomal RNA". It matches the Rfam family "Bacterial small subunit ribosomal RNA", at positions 338 to 795 of the family's 1533-position model. The record is from RNAcentral.
CCUACGGGUGGCAGCAGUGGGGGAUAUUGGACAAUGGGGGGAACCCUGAUCCAGCGACGCCGCGUGAGUGAAGAAGUAUUUCGGUAUGUAAAGCUCUGUCAGCAGGGAAGAAAGAAAUGACGGUACCUGACCAAGAAGACCCGGCUAACUACGUGCCAGCAGCCGCGGUAAUACGUAGGGGGCAAGCGUUAUCCGGAAUUACUGGGUGUAAAGGGAGCGUAGGUGGUUAAGUAAGUCUGGAGUGAAAGGCCGGGGCCAAACCCCGGAACUGCUCUUGAUACUAUUGAACUUGAGUGCAGGUGAGGUAGGCGGAAUGCCUGGUGUAGCGGUGAAAUGCGUAGAUAUUAGGCGGAACACCAGUGGCGAAGGCGGCUUACUGGACUGUAACUGACGUUGAGGCACGAAAGCGUGGGGAGCAAACAGGAUUAGAUACCCUUGUAGUC